RNAcentral lists this ribosomal RNA (243 nucleotides) under uncultured bacterium. RNAcentral's name for it is "partial 16S ribosomal RNA". It matches the Rfam family "Bacterial small subunit ribosomal RNA", at positions 118 to 354 of the family's 1533-position model. The record is from RNAcentral.
UAGGUAACCUGCCCCGGAGCGGGGGAUAACAUUUGGAAACAGAUGCUAAUACCGCAUAACAAUAAAAGCCGCAUGGCUUUUAUUUGAAAGAUGGCUUUGGCUAUCACUCUGGGAUGGACCUGCGGUGCAUUAGCUAGUUGGUAAGGUAACGGCUUACCAAGGCGAUGAUGCAUAGCCGAGUUGAGAGACUGAUCGGCCACAAUGGAACUGAGACACGGUCCAUACUCCUACGGGAGGCAGCAG